Molecule: small RNA, 28 nt
Filed under: Bombyx mori (domestic silkworm)
Lineage: Eukaryota; Metazoa; Arthropoda; Insecta; Lepidoptera; Bombycidae
Description: ovarian small RNA-9928
Source: RNAcentral
AAACCACGAAUGCAGCGAAAACUUUGCA